Long non-coding RNA from Cyclopterus lumpus (lumpfish), 351 nucleotides. RefSeq lists it as uncharacterized. The transcript is spliced from 3 exons. Lineage: Eukaryota; Metazoa; Chordata; Actinopteri; Perciformes; Cyclopteridae. The record is from RefSeq and is a predicted model, not a curated record.
GCUGCUGUAGUGGCGUGUUCAACGCUGUGGACGUUCCUGCCUGUAUCCCCAGUAGCCGUAAAAAGUUGGUUGGGGGCCCCCUACUACGACCACUGGUAGGGGGCCCCAGGCAGCCGCCUACCUAUGCCUCUAUGUUAAGACCGCCUAUAUGUGAGCCCCAGGAAUAUCCACAGGAGAAUUUGCAUCUGCUGGAAGUACAUCCGCGUCUCCUUCCCGGAGGUCUGUUCAGUCACUCUUAGGAGCCAAACCAAGCGACCCGGACUGCUUCUCUUUAACGGUCAAAUUUGAGAAACCAGUCUUCAAAGCCAUAGUCUGCAUUCCACUUCCUGGCAAUGCCUAGAAAAUGACUAA